GACGAACGCUGGAGGCGUGCUUAACACAUGCAAGUCGAACGAUGAAAUGAAGCUUGCUACAUGGAUUAGUGGCGAACGGGUGAGUAACGCGUGAAUAACCAGCCCUUUAUUUUGCAUUAACCCAGGGAAACCUGGGCUAAUACCGGAUACGUAAACUUGUGGCAACACAUGGUUUGGGAAAGUUUUUCGAUUAAGGAUGGAUUCGCGGCCUAUCAGCUUUGUGGUGAGGUAAUGGCUAACCAAGGCGACGACGGGUAGCCGGCCUGAGAGGGUGAAGGGACACACUGGGACUGAGACACGGCACAGACUACUACGGGAGGCAGGAGUGGGGAAUAUUGCGCAAUGGAAGAAAGUCUGACGCAGCGACGCCUCGUGAGGGACGAAGGUCUUCGGAUUGUAAACCUCUUUCAGCAGGGAGGAAGCGAAAGUGACGGUACCUGCAGAAGAAGCACCGGCUAACUAUGUGCCAGCAGCCGCGGUAA
This 482-nucleotide ribosomal RNA is filed under the name uncultured bacterium. RNAcentral's name for it is "partial 16S ribosomal RNA". It matches the Rfam family "Bacterial small subunit ribosomal RNA", at positions 28 to 523 of the family's 1533-position model. The record is from RNAcentral.